This 499-nucleotide ribosomal RNA is filed under the name uncultured bacterium. RNAcentral describes it as "partial 16S ribosomal RNA". It matches the Rfam family "Bacterial small subunit ribosomal RNA", at positions 28 to 507 of the family's 1533-position model. The record is from RNAcentral.
GACGAACGCUGGCGGCGUGCUUAACACAUGCAAGUCGAACGGGCCCGCCCCUGUUUUUGGGGGUGGGUUGAGUGGCGAACGGGUGAGUAUCACGUGAGUAACCUGCCCCCUGCUCCUGGAUAACUGCUUGAAAGGGCGGCUAAUACGGGGUGUGCCGGCUGGUCCGCAUGGGCCUGGUCGGGAUAGUUUCAUCUUCGGGUGUUUCGGUGGGGGAUGGGCUCGCGGCCUAUCAGCUUGUUGGUGGGGUGAUGGCCCACCAAGGCGGUGACGGGUAGCCGGCCUGAGAGGGUGGGCGGCCACACUGGGACGGAGACACGGCCCAGACUCCUGCGGGAGGCAGCAGUGGGGGGUAUUGCACAAUGGGCGGAAGCCUGAUGCAGCGACGUCGCGUGAGGGAUGGAGGCCGUCGGGUUGUGAAACUCUUUCUCCGGUGGUGAAGGCCCUGUCCGUUGCGGCGGGGUUGACGGUAGCCGGGUAUGAAGCGCCGGCUAACUACGUG